UGCAGCAAAUGAUUGAAGUGAAGUGAGUGGAAGAAGUAGGGCAAUCAAAAGUUCGCCAUUUUUACUUUUAGUGAAGGGAGAUUUUAUAUUUUGUCAGGCUGGAGGACGAGGAUAAUUUUCUAAGUGUGUCAUUGUAUUUAUUUCUCGUAGAAGAGACUAUUAUUUGAGAAAAUCUUAGUAUAAUAGUGUGGUUUUAUUUAUUACUAACGUUUUGUAUGUAGUGCUACUUCCCGUCGUAAGAUUGCUCGUUGGUGUGUCGCUUUAGCUAAUUCGAUGGCUAUGAUACUGGAAUUGUAAUCUAACGUGUCGCUUAGACAUUCUGCACACGGGAUAAUAUCGAGAAAGUGAGGCGACGCCGUCAGAAAUGAGCAGGCCUCAGGGCGGACGCAUACAAGUCCCGGAUGACCUUAGAGAGAUCUUACUGGAGUUCACCAUAAGCUACCUCCUGGAGCAGCCCGGCGACGUGAUCAACUACGCGGUCGAGUUCUUCACACGGUUACAGAACAACAGGACCACUACCAUCGUGCGGGGCCCCACCGCCGGCACGCCCGAUGAGUCCAUAAUAUCAGAUGAAGAAGAGCCGCCGGUGGCGCGCUUCAACAACCGGCGCAAGUCUGUGUUCGCGGAGACUUAUGACCCGGAGGAAGAUGACUCGGACGAGGGGGCUCCAAUCGUGUUCCCCAAGUCGGAUGCGCAGCGGACGAGGCUGGCAGAGGCAGUUCGCAGCAUACUACUCUUCCGUGCCAUCGACGUGCAACAGAUGCAGCAGGUCCUAGAUGCGAUGUUCGAGAAGCGCGCGGAGCCGGGCGAGUACAUAAUUCGGCAGGGCGACGACGGCGACAACUUCUACGUCAUCGAGAACGGCAUCUUCGACGUGCUCGUCACCGGCGACGAUGGGAUCGAGAAGGUGGUGCACACGUACGAAGGAUCAGGCUCGUUCGGCGAGCUGGCGCUGAUGUACAACAUGCCUCGCGCGGCGUCGGUGCGCGCGCAGACGCCGGGCGCGCUCUGGGCCAUGGACCGCCACACCUUCCGCCGCAUCCUGCUCAAGAGCGCCUUCAAGAAGCGCAAGCUGUACGAGGAGCUGCUCGACAAAGUGCCCAUGCUGAAGGCGCUGCAGCCUUACGAGCGCGCGAACCUCGCGGACGCGCUGAUCCCGCGGCAGCUGAUCGACGGCGAGCUGAUCAUCCGGCAGGGCGACAUGGCCGACGGCAUGUACUUCGUAGAGGACGGCUCCAUCUCCAUCCGCAUCACGCGCGACGACGGCAACGAGCACGAGAUCAAACGCCUCGCUAAGGGCGGGUACUUCGGUGAGCUGGCGCUGGUAACGCACAAGCCGCGCGCCGCCUCCGCGUACGCUGUCGGACCCACCCGGGUGGCAUUCCUGGACGUGGAGACAUUCGAGCGGCUGCUGGGCCCGUGCAUGGAGAUCAUGAAGCGCAACAUCGACGACUACGAGGAGCAGCUGGUGAAGCUGUUCGGGGACAAGAGCAACCUCACCGACGUGCGAUGAACGACAACGUCGCACGCAAGCAACGCGGGCCGUUGUUUCCCUUCCACGCACCAUCGUCGUUGAUCACGUGUGCAUGCCCGCGAGCACCACUCGGCCCCGCGCGACUGCGGUGGGACCGCCGAUGUCGUUUGACCCUCAGGUAGAUCUUUCCAGUAUUAUUUAAAUUAGAAAAAUCUACAACCCUUAUUUGUGAGUCCAGCCAAAGUAGGUGAAUGCAUAAAGAUCAUGUGUAGCACUAAAAUAUUUAAGUCUAUAUUUACUAUGUAGUAGUUAGUUUUUGUCACUUCUUAUUGUAAUUUAAAUUAAAUAUUAGUAGUUUAGGGAAUCUAAAUGGAGCAUAGUCACAUCCUGAGGGGAGAGGUGUAUUAAUUUAACGCCAUGUGCAAAAAUGUACAAAUUUAUUUCAGCUGCCAUAGAAGAUUUUAACGUUUUAUGUUAUUGAAUUAUUAUCUAAUUGAAUUAAAUGUUAGUAAUUUUAUUUCGAUUGUUAGAUUUGCAGUACUUGAGACUUCCAUUGUCUGGCAGGAUUGACGUUUUAUUGAUUGUGUAGUGUGCUGUUUGCUUUGCCGCUUGUGUUGUGGCCGGCGUCCGGUGUCGGCGUGUGGGAUAACAACGCAUUGGUUCACUUAGCAUUCCUUGUUGCUGAUGAAAUAUAUAUUUUUAACUAUUCUAUUUUUGUUAUAGAAAAGAGAUUUAUUUUUAUCUGUCCAUCAAUUGCGAUAAGAUUCUCACUUCAAGUGCCUAUUUCAUACAGAAACAUCAACCAGGAUACAAUUAGUACUUCUCACUAACCACUUUAAUCUCGUGUUUUUUUUUAUUCUUGAACUGCCUUUUUCUAAGUGAAAUUGUGAAAUGUGUUGUGAGGUAUGUGUUUAGUGCAUCAGGUAAAAUUACUCAUUUGAGUCGCAUACAAAUGUUAUAAUGUAACAGAGUGAGGGAGUCUCCGAGCUUAUCGACUGGGAAUCGUUAAUAGCCAAUCAAACAUAUAAGAUAUCGGCAUAACGACGUAAAACAUUUCAAACCGUUUCAUUUUGUUUUCCAAACCGAUUUCACGUCGAUAAGUUUGGAACUCUAAUACAGUCAAAGAAAAGAGCAAUUCGGCAUAAACACAGGCUCGUAUUUGACUCGUGUAAUAUUUGACAUGGCUCGUAUUUGACAUUUCUUCGACUGUAAAGUGCUCUAAUGCUAACGAUAUAAAUCGUUGUACUAUCAAAUCGACGAUGUUAUACCUAGUAUCUAAGUGCGCUAACUCUGAGAGAAUAUCAAUCUAAGAACUUCCAUUCUUCAAUGUUGGAUUGCUUUUAUGUGUGUGGAAUGUCAUUGCGAAGUUUUCCCUUCUAUGAUACAUAUUACCUCUAUAGACAGGGUGCUGCAUUACCAUCGAGCACAAGUUACACUCGAACUCCAAUUUGAUUCAUCGCCACAUUUCUAUCGACAUAACAAUAUUCACAGUGUCAGUCGAAUGUAUUACAGACGGCCGGCAGUGGUGCAGCACCGUGGUAAUUUGAUAUUCCCGUGUAUAACGUUGUGUUUGUUACAUUGUACAGGUGAGGUGCGUAACGUGUCCACUACUCCACAUUAUUAAUGUCUGUGUGUCCCCGGUGUAUCAAACCCAGUAGUUAAUAGUAUUGUGCAAUAACUUAUGUCAUUAUAUGUCGUCUACAUCAAUAUCAUGUGUUAAAUUUCGUCAGUGUGGAAUUUAUUUAUAGAUUUUAAUAAAAAAUAGAAUAAGAUACAUAUAUUUCUCUUUAUACUGAUGUUUAAUAAAAACAUUCUAAGUAUUCGCAUCAGGGACUACUUAACAAAGCUAUCUUGUAAGGCUAAUAUAGUUUGGAGAAUUGUAACUGACUUGCAAUAUGGUAACGAAAGCACAAAUGUUUGUUUGAAACACGUGAAUUGAUAGAUUUCGAUUCUGUUGUCUUCCAAAUGGGACGCACAGAAGUUCUCAACUAGUUCACAGCGACAUCGCACCUGCGUCAUGCGUCGCUCACUGUCUUCGUUUGUUCUCACCAGUUCGACUGUUUAGUUCAAUCGUCGAACUAAUGAGAUAAAAAAGUGUCACUAGCUCCCUGCAGUUACGUGAAUUACUGCGAAUAUAAAAAUAUUUAAAUGCAGUAGAAUUAGCGUGUCCUUAACGCUCUCACUAGUUCGACAAUUGAACCAUCACUAGUAGAACAUACGCACUAUCUGGCAUUCUGAUGUUAAAUUCAAUACGCUUAUACGUAGCGUAAUUUUUUAUAAAUUACUAGUCAUUGGUGUCUUAACGUAGAUUUGUAACCUGACGGCACUUUGGAAUGGAACAUACUCCAUAUCUUCACAUUCACAUUAGGUGUAAGUUGUCAUGCCAGUUCCAUGAAGUGAAGCAUAUCAGAGCGGACAGCCGCCUCCCAUGUUGUCUAUUAUAUAAUUGCACCACAUAUGUACAUCCGGUAGCCAGUUGAAAACUAGUACCGCUUUACCCACGUCAUGAGCUUACCCUGUACAUUUAUAAAAAUUAUGUAUCGUAAAAUGUUAGAAAACUGAAUUAUAUUUGUUUGUAGAUCUAAA
Molecule: unclassified non-coding RNA, 4060 nt
Filed under: Pectinophora gossypiella (pink bollworm)
Lineage: Eukaryota; Metazoa; Arthropoda; Insecta; Lepidoptera; Gelechiidae
Description: cAMP-dependent protein kinase type II regulatory subunit
Source: RNAcentral